UGGGGAAUAUUGGACAAUGGGCGCAAGCCUGAUCCAGCAAUGCCGCGUGAGUGAUGAAGGCCUUAGGGUUGUAAAGCUCUUUUACCCGUGAUGAUAAUGACAGUAGCGGGAGAAUAAGCUCCGGCUAACUCCGUGCCAGCAGCCGCGGUAAUACGGAGGGAGCUAGCGUUAUUCGGAAUUACUGGGCGUAAAGCGCACGUAGGCGGCUUUGUAAGUAAGGGGUGAAAGCCUGGAGCUCAACUCCAGAAUUGCCUUUUAGACUGCAUCGCUUGAAUCCAGGAGAGGUGAGUGGAAUUCCGAGUGUAGAGGUGAAAUUCGUAGAUAUUCGGAAGAACACCAGUGGCGAAGGCGGCUCACUGGACUGGUAUUGACGCUGAGGUGCGAAAGCGUGGGGAGCAAACA
Molecule: ribosomal RNA, 402 nt
Filed under: uncultured Sphingomonas sp.
Lineage: Bacteria; Pseudomonadati; Pseudomonadota; Alphaproteobacteria; Sphingomonadales; Sphingomonadaceae
Description: bacterial SSU rRNA
Rfam family: Bacterial small subunit ribosomal RNA
Source: RNAcentral